UGGGGAAUCUUGCGCAAUGGGCGAAAGCCUGACGCAGCCAUGCCGCGUGGAUGAUGAAGGUCUUAGGAUUGUAAAAUCCUUUCACCGGUGAAGAUAAUGACUGUAGCCGGAGAAGAAGCCCCGGCUAACUUCGUGCCAGCAGCCGCGGUAAUACGAAGGGGGCUAGCGUUGCUCGGAAUUACUGGGCGUAAAGGGAGCGUAGGCGGACAUUUAAGUCAGGGGUGAAAUCCCGAGGCUCAACCUCGGAACUGCCUUUGAUACUGGAUGUCUUGAGUGUGAGAGAGGUGAGUGGAACUCCGAGUGUAGAGGUGAAAUUCGUAGAUAUUCGGAAGAACACCAGUGGCGAAGGCGACUCACUGGCUCAUUACUGACGCUGAGGCUCGAAAGCGUGGGGAGCAAACA
RNAcentral lists this ribosomal RNA (402 nucleotides) under uncultured Brevundimonas sp. Its description in RNAcentral is "bacterial SSU rRNA". It matches the Rfam family "Bacterial small subunit ribosomal RNA", at positions 355 to 774 of the family's 1533-position model. RNAcentral also lists the same sequence under 1 other name. Lineage: Bacteria; Pseudomonadati; Pseudomonadota; Alphaproteobacteria; Caulobacterales; Caulobacteraceae. The record is from RNAcentral.